GAUUUGACAACUUUUACACAAAAACAAAGAAUUUGACUUUGGUUGGUCUCAGGAAAGACAUAAAUAUAAAUGGAUAGAAAAGGUGAAUAACAAAAACAUUUCAGGUUUUACUACAGGGCAUAAAUAGCAUUUAGGUCUGGGCUUUAACUAGGCCAUUCCAGCAUAAAGAAGCUUUGAUCAGAACCAUCCCUGAUAGCUCUGCCUCUAAGAGAAGAUCAAAUAAACACCAUCCUAAAUCAAUCCGUCUCUGCCUUUUGUAACCCUACAUGUAAAUGUUGUGUCUUCCAGCGCUGUCUGAUGAAGUCAGACUGGUAGCAGGAAGGAGUCGCUGUGGUAGCCGACUGGAGAAGAAGCAUCUGGGAAACUGGAAACCAGUGGAAUAUGGGGACUGGAACUGGAACCUUACAUCAGCAGCUGUAGCUAGCAGACAGCUCCACUGUGGAUCUGUGGUGUCGAUACAAAGAGAUGAGAUACAAUCUACAGAUCAUCUGUUCAGACUCAGUCAGGCUGGUUCAAGGGACCAACCGGUGCUCAGGCAGACUGGAGGUGAAGACCAACCAGUCGUGGUCCUCAGUGUG
Non-coding RNA from Poecilia reticulata (guppy), 578 nucleotides. The record is from RefSeq and is a predicted model, not a curated record. NCBI's taxonomy places the organism in Eukaryota, Metazoa, Chordata, Actinopteri, Cyprinodontiformes, Poeciliidae.